UUGGGGAUUUAGCUCAGUGGUAGAGCGCUUGCCUAGCAAGCGCAAGGCCCUGGGUUCGGUCCUCAGCUCUGGAAA
This 75-nucleotide transfer RNA is filed under the name Mus musculus (house mouse). RNAcentral describes it as "tRNA-Ala". Lineage: Eukaryota; Metazoa; Chordata; Mammalia; Rodentia; Muridae. The record is from RNAcentral.